RNAcentral lists this ribosomal RNA (400 nucleotides) under uncultured Pseudoalteromonadaceae bacterium. RNAcentral describes it as "bacterial SSU rRNA". It matches the Rfam family "Bacterial small subunit ribosomal RNA", at positions 366 to 757 of the family's 1533-position model. Lineage: Bacteria; Pseudomonadati; Pseudomonadota; Gammaproteobacteria; Alteromonadales; Pseudoalteromonadaceae. The record is from RNAcentral.
GUAUAACAGGGUCGCAGCCUGAUGCAGCCAUGCCGCGUGUGUGAAGAAGGCCUUCGGGUUGUAAAGCACUUUCAGUCAGGAGGAAAGGUUAGUAGUUAAUACCUGCUAGCUGUGACGUUACUGACAGAAGAAGCACCGGCUAACUCCGUGCCAGCAGCCGCGGUAAUACGGAGGGUGCGAGCGUUAAUCGGAAUUACUGGGCGUAAAGCGUACGCAGGCGGUUUGUUAAGCGAGAUGUGAAAGCCCCGGGCUUAACCUGGGAACUGCAUUUCGAACUGGCAAACUAGAGUGUGAUAGAGGGUGGUAGAAUUUCAGGUGUAGCGGUGAAAUGCGUAGAGAUCUGAAGGAAUACCGAUGGCGAAGGCAGCCACCUGGGUCAACACUGACGCUCAUGUACGAA